GCGCUUGCUUUGGCAGCACAUAUAUUAAAAUUGCAAUAAUACAGAGAAGAUGAAUAUGGCCCCUACUGAAGGAUGACAUGCAACUUCAUGAAGCAUUCCAUAUUCUA
Molecule: small nuclear RNA, 107 nt
Organism: Manis pentadactyla (Chinese pangolin)
Lineage: Eukaryota; Metazoa; Chordata; Mammalia; Pholidota; Manidae
Source: RefSeq, a predicted model, not a curated record